Molecule: ribosomal RNA, 381 nt
Filed under: uncultured bacterium
Lineage: Bacteria
Description: bacterial SSU rRNA
Rfam family: Bacterial small subunit ribosomal RNA
Source: RNAcentral
UUUUGGACAAUGGGGGCAACCCUGAUCCAGCAAUGCCGCGUGAGUGAAGAAGGCCUUCGGGUUGUAAAGCUCUUUUGUCAGGGAAGAAACACCGGCUCUAACACAGUCCGGGAAUGACGGUACCUGAAGAAUAAGCACCGGCUAACUCCGUGCCAGCAGCCGCGGUAAUACGGAGGGUGCAAGCGUUAUCCGGAUUCACUGGGUUUAAAGGGUGCGUAGGCGGGUAGGUAAGUCAGUGGUGAAAUCCUGGAGCUCAACUCCAGAACUGCCAUUGAUACUAUCUAUCUUGAAUAUUGUGGAGGAAGCGGAAUAUGUCAUGAGCGGUAAAUGCUAGUUACAUGACACCCAUUGCGAGGAGCUACUCGAUUUAGCGUGGACAAA